This 217-nucleotide ribosomal RNA is filed under the name Amazonopsis sp. CHY17-01-07. Its description in RNAcentral is "partial large subunit ribosomal RNA". The record is from RNAcentral. Lineage: Eukaryota; Metazoa; Arthropoda; Insecta; Coleoptera; Elmidae.
GAGUUUAAUAUUUUUAAAUUAGUUUUGUAUUUAGUAUUAAUUUCUCACUUUUUAAGGAAUAUUUUGUUGGGGCGAUGGGAAGAUUAAUUAAACUCUUCUUAAAUUUUUACGUUAAUAAGUGAUUUUUGGAUCCAUGUUUGUUUGAUUAUAAGAUAAAAUUACCUUAGGGAUAACAGCGUAAUUCUUUUAAAGAGUUCUUAUCGAAAUAAGGGAUUGC